ACAGCAGCCGCCACGGUAAUACGUAGGGUGCGAGCGUUGUCCGGAAUUAUUGGGCGUAAAGCGCGCGCAGGUGGUUUAAUAAGUCUGAUGUGAAAGCCCACGGCUCAACCGUGGAGGGUCAUUGGAAACUGUUAAACUUGAGUGCAGGAGAGAAAAGUGGAAUUCCUAGUGUAGCGGUGAAAUGCGUAGAGAUUAGGAGGAACACCAGUGGCGAAGGCGGCUUUUUGGCCUGUAACUGACACUGAGGCGCGAAAGCGUGGGGAGCAAACAGGAUUAGAUACCCCAGUAGUCCCUGUCUCUUAUAC
Molecule: ribosomal RNA, 305 nt
Filed under: uncultured bacterium
Lineage: Bacteria
Description: partial 16S ribosomal RNA
Rfam family: Bacterial small subunit ribosomal RNA
Source: RNAcentral